RNAcentral lists this ribosomal RNA (513 nucleotides) under uncultured bacterium. RNAcentral describes it as "bacterial SSU rRNA". It matches the Rfam family "Bacterial small subunit ribosomal RNA", at positions 15 to 518 of the family's 1533-position model. The record is from RNAcentral.
GAUCAUGGCUCAGGAUGAACGCUAGCCACAGGCUUAACACAUGCAAGUCGAGGGGCAUCAGAUCGAAAGCUUGCUUUGAUGCUGGCGACCGGCGCACGGGUGAGUAACGCGUAUCCAACCUUCCCCAUAGUAGAGAAUAGCCCGGCGAAAGUCGGAUUAAUGCUCUAUGUUGUAUCAUGAGGACAUCUGAAUAAUACCAAAGGUUCACCGCUAUGGGAUGGGGAUGCGUCUGAUUAGGUUGUUGGCGGGGUAACGGCCCACCAAGCCCACGAUCAGUAGGGGUUCUGAGAGGAAGGUCCCCCACAUUGGAACUGAGACACGGUCCAAACUCCUACGGGAGGCAGCAGUGAGGAAUAUUGGUCAAUGGACGGAAGUCUGAACCAGCCAAGUAGCGUGCAGGAUGACGGCCCUAUGGGUUGUAAACUGCUUUUAUACAGGGAUAAAGUGAGGGACGUGUCCCUUUUUGUAGGUACUGUAUGAAUAAGGACCGGCUAAUUCCGUGCCAGCAGCUGC